Molecule: ribosomal RNA, 195 nt
Filed under: Pseudomonas aeruginosa
Lineage: Bacteria; Pseudomonadati; Pseudomonadota; Gammaproteobacteria; Pseudomonadales; Pseudomonadaceae
Description: partial 16S ribosomal RNA
Rfam family: Bacterial small subunit ribosomal RNA (bases 41-195)
Source: RNAcentral
UGAGCCAAGUUUAGGGUUUUCUCAAAACCCAAGCAGUAUUGAACUGAAGAGUUUGAUCAUGGCUCAGAUUGAACGCUGGCGGCAGGCCUAACACAUGCAAGUCGAGCGGAUGAAGGGAGCUUGCUCCUGGAUUCAGCGGCGGACGGGUGAGUAAUGCCUAGGAAUCUGCCUGGUAGUGGGGGAUAACGUCCGGAA